AAAGAAAAGAGACAAGCAUUUAAUUGUGCCUCAGCACUUGCUUGUCUGAUAACUUUUCUUUGGUUUAUCUGUCGGCUCUAAAUGUCCUUUUCUAAGAGCCUGGCUUUCUCUCUUGACUCAUCUUUCUUUAAACGAGCACUUAUUGUCCCUGAAGGACAGCUCGUUUAGAAAGAAAGAGUCAAGAGAGGAUUCCUUGAAAAAAGUGCUUUUCAUUCUUUGGCUCGUAAGGACAUAAAGAGAAAAAGCCAAAGAAUGAGCACUUUUAUUUC
This 269-nucleotide non-coding RNA is filed under the name Prorocentrum minimum. Lineage: Eukaryota; Dinophyceae; Prorocentrales; Prorocentraceae. The record is from RNAcentral.